UGGGACGCCCGGCUGUGGAUAGUCCCUGGGGGGGGAGUGGAGGAGGGGGAGGAGACCAGGCAGGCUGCCAUUCGGGAAGUGAGAGAGGAAGCCGGUGUUUGUGGCUACAUCAAAAAAACACUUGGAGUUUUUGAGAACCCAGAGAGGAAGCACCGCACUACAGUUUAUCUGCUUGUAGUGAGUGAGUUAUUGCAAGACUGGGAUGAAGCAAGAGAUUUUGGAAGGCGGAGACAGUGGUUCACUAUCGCCGAGGCAGUGACGGAGUUGGAAAACAUAAGCCUAUCCAAUCACAAUAUUUAGACUUACUAUCCACUACUACUACUACUACUAAUAGUACUAAUACUAGACUACUAU
Long non-coding RNA from Portunus trituberculatus (swimming crab), 354 nucleotides. RefSeq lists it as uncharacterized. The record is from RefSeq and is a predicted model, not a curated record. Lineage: Eukaryota; Metazoa; Arthropoda; Malacostraca; Decapoda; Portunidae. The transcript is spliced from 3 exons.